Melitaea cinxia (Glanville fritillary) is the source of this 476-nucleotide long non-coding RNA. RefSeq lists it as uncharacterized. The transcript is spliced from 2 exons. The record is from RefSeq and is a predicted model, not a curated record. NCBI's taxonomy places the organism in Eukaryota, Metazoa, Arthropoda, Insecta, Lepidoptera, Nymphalidae.
AUUGCUUUCCAAAAUUAUACUUGAGACUUGUUGGGCGAUAUAUAAGGUUUUAAAAAUAACAAUCAAGUUACCCUCAUCGGAAAAUGAAUGGAGAAUAGCUGCAAAAUCUUUUCAAGAAUAAUGGCAAUUUGACAACUGUGUAGGUUGCAUGGACGGCAAGCAUAUUAUAGUCGAAAAACCGAACGGGACGGGAUCAUUGUUCUACAACUAUAAGGGUACAUUUAGUAUCGUAUUGUUUGCUAUCGUAAAUGCAAACUACGAAUUUAUUUAUGUUCAUACGGGUUCAGAUGGAAAUAUGUCAGAUGGAGGAAUACUGAAAGCUACCAGAUUCUAUGAAAAACUUAUCAACGAUGAUCUUAAUUUACCUGAAUCAUUACUACUACCAAGUACAAAUGUGUCAGUACCGUAUGUUUUUUUAGGAGAUAGUGCAUUUGCACUAGAAACAAAUAUAAUGAAACAAAAAAGAUUUUUAGAAA